RNAcentral lists this ribosomal RNA (254 nucleotides) under uncultured bacterium. Its description in RNAcentral is "partial 16S ribosomal RNA". It matches the Rfam family "Bacterial small subunit ribosomal RNA", at positions 524 to 777 of the family's 1533-position model. The record is from RNAcentral.
UACAGAGGGUGCGAGCGUUGUUCGGAAUUACUGGGCGUAAAGCGCGCGUAGGCGGUGAUCUUUGUCGGAGGUGAAAGCCUGGGGCUCAACUCCAGAAUUGCCUUUGAAACGGGAUCGCUUGAGUCCGAGAGAGGAUGGCGGAAUUCCUAGUGUAGAGGUGAAAUUCGUAGAUAUUAGGAAGAACACCGGUGGCGAAGGCGGCCAUCUGGCUCGGUACUGACGCUCAGGCGCGAAAGCGUGGGGAGCAAACAGGG